This 407-nucleotide ribosomal RNA is filed under the name uncultured bacterium. RNAcentral describes it as "bacterial SSU rRNA". It matches the Rfam family "Bacterial small subunit ribosomal RNA", at positions 948 to 1331 of the family's 1533-position model. The record is from RNAcentral.
AAUUCGACGCAACGCGAAGAACCUUACCUACCCUUGACAUCCUCGGAACCUGCUAGAGAUAGUGGGGUGCCUUCGGGAACCGAGAGACAGGUGCUGCAUGGCUGUCGUCAGCUCGUGUCGUGAGAUGUUGGGUUAAGUCCCGUAACGAGCGCAACCCUUGUCCUUAGUUGCCAUCAGGUAAAGCUGGGAACUCUAAGGAGACUGCCGGUGACAAGCCGGAGGAAGGUGGGGAUGACGUCAAGUCCUCAUGGCCCUUACGGGUAGGGCUACACACGUGCUACAAUGGACGGUACAAAAGGCAGCGAAACCGCGAGGUGGAAGCGAAUCUUGUCAAAGCCGUUCGUAGUCCGGAAUUGGAAGUCUGCAACUCGACUCCAAUGAAAGUUGGAAAUCGGCUAGGAAAUCGU